This is a long non-coding RNA of Equus quagga, 686 nucleotides long. RefSeq lists it as uncharacterized. The record is from RefSeq and is a predicted model, not a curated record. Lineage: Eukaryota; Metazoa; Chordata; Mammalia; Perissodactyla; Equidae. The transcript has 3 exons.
CAGUGUUCGUGUUUUCAUUUUGUUGGCGGCAUCUGGCACCCAACGUGGGGCCCAACGAAACUGAAAGAGUAAGCACCCUGGAAAAGUGAAAGGGGGACUUUCAGGAAUAGGUAAAUCUCGAUGCAGGGCUCGACGAGACCGAAAGGUUGUUCUACAUCGCUCCCGUCGACUAGUGGGAUUGAUCAUCGCGACUAUCCUUGCGGUUGCAUCCGUUACUGUGAUGGCAGCAUCUGGCACCCAACGUGGGGCCCAACGAAACUGAAAGGUCUUCCGGCGCUGGAGAAAGCAACAACAACUAAAAAGGAUCGUUAAGACCGUUGCGCAUGCUGUCCGUCACAAUGCUAACAAAAGAGGGGGAGAUGAAGGAGACCUGGCAUGAAAUGUGGUUGUGCUUGCACGCGAGGCAUCCACAAGACUGGCUGGACUUUUCUGCAAACAGAAUGUUCUGCCUGGUGAACUCACAAGGCCCCAGGGAAAACAUUGCUUGCAAACAAGGAUGUUUUAUCAGUUCCUCAAAAGGAACAAGCCUGGGGCCUUGGGAGUUUGAAACAUUAUGAAGGAACCUGUUAUAAACAGAUGUGUAAGGGAAAGGUCAUUAUUGUGGGACGCUUGCGCAGGCUUAGGUGGCUGACUCACUGCUUUGGCAAAAGGCUGGCUUUGUUUAGAGGCUAUAAGAAUAAAGAGCU